This 461-nucleotide ribosomal RNA is filed under the name uncultured marine bacterium 106. RNAcentral's name for it is "bacterial SSU rRNA". It matches the Rfam family "Bacterial small subunit ribosomal RNA", at positions 1070 to 1533 of the family's 1533-position model. The record is from RNAcentral.
AGAGUUGGUUAGUCUCUAACGAGCGCACUCCUAUCGUCAGUUGCUACUAUUAAGUUAAGCACUCUGGCGAGACUGCCUGGGAAACCAGGAGGAAGGUGGGAACGACGUCAGAUCAUCAUGGUCCUUAUGUCUAGGGCAACACACGUGUUACAAUGGCCGGUACAAAGGGUUGCAAACCUGUAAAGGUGAGCCAAUCCCAGAAAUCCGGUCUAAGUUCGGAUUGAGGUCUGCAAUUCGACCUCAUGAAGCUGAAAUCGCUAGUAAUCGUAUAUCAGAAUGAUACGGUGAAUACGUUCUCGGGCCUUGUACACACCGCCCGUCACACCACGAAAGCUGUUUGUACCCGAAAUCAUCUUAGCUAACCUGUUAAAGGAGGCGGAUGCUGAAGGUAUGGGGAGUGAUUGGGGUGAAGUCGUAACAAGGUAGCUGUAGGAGAACCUGCGGCUGGAUCACCUCCUUUC